Molecule: small RNA, 795 nt
Filed under: uncultured Glomus
Lineage: Eukaryota; Fungi; Glomeromycota; Glomeromycetes; Glomerales; Glomeraceae
Description: SSU rRNA
Rfam family: Eukaryotic small subunit ribosomal RNA
Source: RNAcentral
AUCAACUUUCGAUGGUAGGAUAGAGGCCUACCAUGGUGGUGACGGGUGACGGAGAAUUAGGGUCCGAUUCCGGAGAGGGAGCCUGAGAAACGGCUACCACAUCCAAGGAAGGCAGCAGGCGCGCAAACUACCCAAUCCUGACACGGGGAGGUAGUGACAAUAAAUAACAAUACGGGGUUCUUAAGGAUCUCGUAAUUGGAAUGAGUACAAUUUAAAUCUCUUAACGAGGAACAAUUGGAGGGCAAGUCUGGUGCCAGCAGCCGCGGUAAUUCCAGCUCCAAUAGCGUAUAUUAAAGUUGUUGCAGUUAAAAAGCUCGUAGUUGAAUUUCGAGACCGGUCUACUGGUCGUGCUUUUGUACGUACUGGUAUAAUCGGUUUCUCUCUUCUGACGAACUAUAAUGCCAUUAAUUUGGUGUUUUAGGGAAUCAGGACUGUUACUUUGAAAAAAUUAGAGUGUUUAAAGCAGGCUCACGCUUGAAUACAUUAGCAUGGAAUAACGAAAUAGGACGUUUGAUUCUAUUUUGUUGGUUUCUAGGAUCGACGUAAUGAUUAAUAGGGAUAGUUGGGGGCAUUAGUAUUCAAUUGUCAGAGGUGAAAUUCUUGGAUUUAUUGAAGACUAACUACUGCGAAAGCAUUUGCCAAGGAUGUUUUCAUUAAUCAAGAACGAAAGUUAGGGGAUCGAAGACGAUCAGAUACCGUCGUAGUCUUAACCAUAAACUAUGCCGACUAGGGAUCGGAUGAUGUUAAAUUAAUGACUCAUUCGGCACCUUACGGGAAACCAAAGUGUUUGGGUUC